GGCUGCGCGCCGGCCGCCAUUUUGAAUCGCCUCAGCGCGGCCGAGUGAACCUAUCGUGCACACCCCUUCUCUCUGCCCCCACGUGGAAAUCGAAGGAGUUACGAGCAGUCAGUACCUUACAGGAGCAGAGCUGUCGUGCUUCCUUAUCAUCUUUGAAACUCGUUACUGCUUUUUUCUGCAAAGGUCAUAUGCGCGUUGCACCUAGACUCAGUGAUCAUGUCUCUGGAGUGGUAGUAAGAUAAAGUUGUCCCUCAUCUUAACUGAGGAUGUAAGUACUUGCCUCUCAUCACCUCACAUCUCUUAUGUCUACCCUGAAGCUGGAAAUGUUGAGUGCAGCAAAUGCAGAAAUAUCUGAACUUGUGUUAAUGUAAUUAGCUCAGUAUCAAGAAGAGCAAAGCCACAAUUAUUCAAGCUUUGAUACAGGCAAGUUACACCUGAAUAGACUGUGAGAGGCUGAGGUAAACUUGUACGGAAGUACUUGGCACCAUGACCCCACUGACACCAGUUCCAUGCUGUCAAGAUGAGAAUUAGGUCCUUAUCAAGAUGAGAACUAGGCACUGAACACUUACCAUCAACCAAAAAUUGCACCUCUGCAGAUAUUUUCUGUGACGGGGUCAGAGACUGAUAAAUAUCAGCGCUUAUUCUGCUGGAUUUCUCAGAUGGGUAUCACUGUAAAACAAUUAAGAUUGGCACCAGUUUCUCCUUACCUUUGUUUGAAAAUCACUGCUACCUCUGCAAGACAGCUUGCAUAUUACUAUUAAAGUAAAUAAAAGCAAAAUGGCUUUGAAGCAUUA
This is a long non-coding RNA of Harpia harpyja (harpy eagle), 794 nucleotides long. RefSeq lists it as uncharacterized. Lineage: Eukaryota; Metazoa; Chordata; Aves; Accipitriformes; Accipitridae. The record is from RefSeq and is a predicted model, not a curated record. The transcript has 2 exons.